GUUGAACGCUAGCUACAGGCUUAACACAUGCAAGUCGCGGGGCAGCAUGUCGGUUGCUUGCAACCGAUGAUGGCGACCGGCGCACGGGUGAGUAACGCGUAUCCAACCUGCCCUUCACCACGGAAUAAUCCAGUGAAAAUUGGUCUAAUACCGUAUGAGGUCAUACGAUGGCAUCAGAAUAUGACGAAAGGUUUGGCGGUGAAGGAUGGGGAUGCGUCUGAUUAGCUUGUUGGUGAGGUAACGGCUCACCAAGGCGAAGAUCAGUAGGGGUUGUGAGGGUAAUGUCCCCCACAUUGGAACUGAGAAACGGUCCAAACUCCUACGGGAGUCAGCAGUGAGGAAUAUUGGUCAAUGGGCGAGAGCUUGAACCAGCCAAGUAGCGUGCAGGAAGACGGCCCUAUGGGUUGUAAACUGCUUUUAUAUGGGGAUAAAGUGAGCUACGUGUAGUUUAUUGCAGGUACCAUAUGAAUAAGGACCGGCUAAUUCCGUGCCAGCCGCCGCCGUAA
Molecule: ribosomal RNA, 506 nt
Filed under: uncultured bacterium
Lineage: Bacteria
Description: partial 16S ribosomal RNA
Rfam family: Bacterial small subunit ribosomal RNA
Source: RNAcentral